CCGUAAAGAACCUGCCUCAUAGACUGGGACAACUAUUGGAAACGAUAGCUAAUACCGGAUAACAGCAUUAACUGCAUGGUUGAUGUUUAAAAGUUGGUUUUGCUAACACUAUGAGAUGGCUUUGCGGUGCAUUAGCUAGUUGGUGGGGUAAAGGCCUACCAAGGCGACGAUGCAUAGCCGACCUGAGAGGGUGAUCGGCCACACUGGGACUGAGACACGGCCCAG
Molecule: ribosomal RNA, 225 nt
Filed under: uncultured bacterium
Lineage: Bacteria
Description: partial 16S ribosomal RNA
Rfam family: Bacterial small subunit ribosomal RNA
Source: RNAcentral